AGAAAUAAAGAGACAUCAGCCAUCUGACACUGCUGAAAUGAGAAAUCAUCACCAGCAUCUGUCCACCUCUGUCUUGUUACACAUGACAAACGCUUAUUUGCUUCAGCCACUGUUAAUAAGCAAAACUCUCUCUCUGAACGAGGAUCGCAGGGACUGCAGGUUCCUAACGGCCACUUCCGACUUCCCCUGCUGCAAAAUCUCCUUAAAACACAAUGUGCUAAAUUAUUAAGCCAACCUGCAAGGUGUGUUGGAGGAAUACCAAGUGUCCCUUUAGCUUCUCCACCCCCUACCCCAGCCUCUUCCUUGGGUAUGCUAUCUGAUUACUCUGCCGUCAAGUAUAAUCAAAUUCAAAUCUAACCG
This 360-nucleotide long non-coding RNA is filed under the name Equus caballus (horse). Its description in RNAcentral is "lncRNA (ENSECAG00000044442.1)". The record is from RNAcentral. Lineage: Eukaryota; Metazoa; Chordata; Mammalia; Perissodactyla; Equidae.